CGGGGGUAAGAGGUUCGACUCGAGCGAAGCGAGAGAACGUUGCGCCAGCAACGGCCCGCAGGGCGAGCCACGCAGUGGCGAGUCAUCCUCUAUCACCGGCAG
Molecule: small RNA, 102 nt
Filed under: Salmonella enterica subsp. enterica serovar Manhattan
Lineage: Bacteria; Pseudomonadati; Pseudomonadota; Gammaproteobacteria; Enterobacterales; Enterobacteriaceae
Description: partial RtT sRNA
Rfam family: RtT RNA
About the family: This family represents a bacterial cis-regulatory element known as RtT RNA. The exact function of RtT is unknown although it is thought that it may be involved in changing the cellular response in relation to amino acid starvation.
Source: RNAcentral